UACGUAGGGGGCUAGCGUUGUCCGGAAUCAUUGGGCGUAAAGCGCGCGUAGGCGGCCCGGUAAGUCCGUUGUGAAAGUCAAAGGCUCAACCUUUGAAUGCCGAUGGAUACUGCCGGGCUCGAGUCCGGAAGAGGCGAGUGGAAUUCCUGGUGUAGCGGUGGAAUGCGCAGAUAUCAGGAGGAACACCGAUAGCGAAGGCAGCUCGCUGGGACGGUACUGACGCUGAGGCGCGAAAGCUAGGGGAGCAAACGGG
RNAcentral lists this ribosomal RNA (253 nucleotides) under uncultured bacterium. RNAcentral's name for it is "partial 16S ribosomal RNA". It matches the Rfam family "Bacterial small subunit ribosomal RNA", at positions 524 to 776 of the family's 1533-position model. The record is from RNAcentral.